GGGGAAUUUUCCGCAAUGGGCGCAAUCUCUGACGGAGCAAGACCGCGUGAGGGAGGAAGGCUCUUGGGUUGUAAACCUCUUUUCUUGGGGAAUAAAAAAAUGAAGGUACCCAAGGAAUCAGCAUCGGCUAACUCCGUGCCAGCAGCCGCGGUAAUACGGAGGAUGCAAGCGUUAUCCGGAAUUAUUGGGCGUAAAGCGUCCGCAGGUGGCACUUCAAGUCUGCUGUCAAAGACCGGGGCUUAACCCUGGAAAGGCAGUGGAAACUGAAGCGCUAGAGUGUCGUAGGGGUAGAGGGAAUUCCUGGUGUAGCGGUGAAAUGCGUAGAGAUCAGGAAGAACAUCGGUGGCGAAAGCGCUCUACUGGACGACAACUGACACUCAGGGACGAAAGCUAGGGGAGCGAAUGGGAUUAGAUACCCCAGUAGUCCUAGCCGUAAACGAUGGAUACUAGGUGUGGCUUGUAUCGACCCGAGCCGUGCCGUAGCUAACGCGUUAAGUAUC
RNAcentral lists this ribosomal RNA (500 nucleotides) under uncultured cyanobacterium. RNAcentral's name for it is "bacterial SSU rRNA". It matches the Rfam family "Bacterial small subunit ribosomal RNA", at positions 356 to 868 of the family's 1533-position model. Lineage: Bacteria; Bacillati; Cyanobacteriota. The record is from RNAcentral.